UGCUCCGGCGUCACCAGCUAGCUAAAUCCUCGCAACGGUUCUGGGCGAUAGGGGCCGUUUUUGUCCCCCUUCUUCAGCAGAUGAGGGAAUUUGUUUCAAAAAGUUGUUACCUGCUCACGGAAACAGACGUCCUAAGCUAUUAACACAAUCUCCAGCUGUGUUCUAACCAAGACAGGAACCGAAGGGAACAGUAAAAAAUCAUUUUCGGUGCUGCGCUGGGUCUUUUUCUUUGGAAUUUUAAGAAGUUCUGUGAGCUAAAGACCAAUGACUUCCUACAAAUCUUGAAGGACUCCAGGACUCAUCACCAUAGCAGACCAGGCAUCCUUUUUAAGAUGCUUGAUGUCCAGGACUUUGAAACAGCUGAUUUCUUUUUAACCACCUCUCAAUAGGAUUCAUGGAAAAAACUCUGACAAGCACAGAUUUCUGAAAACUUUAAGGUCAUACCACUGGACUCCUAUGGAGUUCCUAACCUUACUGGGGAGAAAGAUCACUUUCUGGCAGGCCCAGGAACUUCAGAAUAUUUGGGGAACCUUGAGAAGAGACAUCUGUUGAGAAAUAUUACUGAACACUUGUUCUGAAGGCUGAUCCUAGACAGCAAGACUCAGAGAAUUGAGAGAAGACAAAAACAUUCAUCUAAUCGGGGCGGCUGGGUGGGGUGAAGUGAACCCAGCCUGAUUACCCUUAGCAUCUAACUCCACAGAAACUCUGCUCUCUAUUUUCUCAAUCUUCUCCAAUUCUUUAUGAAGGGGUUCAGGAAAUGCCGCCCCAAAAUAUGGUGCUUUGGUGUAAUACUUUGAGCUGAAGACACUUGAAAACAGUAUAUGCAGGGAGACGCUUUCUCUGAACUCCCCUUAUCUGUCUAAAGAUAGAUACCGCAAAGGAACUCAAUUUGUCAUCAAUUUUCCAUCAGUGAAACUCUUCCAGGAGUUUCAUCCACCAGUGAAGCUUAUCUCAAUCACAAGAGAAGAGACUAGAAGCCCACACCACACUUAGACAAAUGUCACAAACGAUCAUCUGUUCUUCUAAGGGCCAUUCAUCUUUUCCCAAAAUCAUUUACUCUGCCUGAAAUUGGCUACAUCCCUGGCUUCCUUCUCGCCUAUGUAGAGGGUAUAUAAGCUCCUAAAUCUCCCGGUUUUUCAGGUACUUUUCUUCCUGUGAUGCCACCACACAUGUAAUCAAUUUAUAUACCUGGUAAAGAAGAUAAAAUUUGGGAACUUAAAACUUGGCAAAGAAGGAAAUCCUUUUGG
This 1247-nucleotide long non-coding RNA is filed under the name Homo sapiens (human). RNAcentral describes it as "HSALNT0011415". Lineage: Eukaryota; Metazoa; Chordata; Mammalia; Primates; Hominidae. The record is from RNAcentral.